RNAcentral lists this long non-coding RNA (643 nucleotides) under Triticum aestivum (bread wheat). Its description in RNAcentral is "long non-coding RNA (TAES_LNC026331)". Lineage: Eukaryota; Viridiplantae; Streptophyta; Magnoliopsida; Poales; Poaceae. The record is from RNAcentral.
UGGGAUAUUAAAAGCAUUUAACCUCUAUUGCUGUAGCUCUUGGAAAUAAAAAGUGAAAAAUUAUAUCGCUUUACCAAAUUUAUCGUCUUAGAUUUCUGAACGUCACUUAACAUUUAACUGUCGUUGAGGUAGCCACUUGUCUUGUUAGUCCAGGGGAUAUUGUGAUGCUUAAAGUGGCAACCGAAUGUAUCCUGGUGCUUAAUUACGCCCAUCUGGAUCCUUGCUCUGUUUUCUCUGAAACAGGAAUGCAGCGUGAAGAACAAGGAUAUAAGGAUGCUUUUGGACGGCCUGUGACAAGUUCGCCAUCAACGAAGAGCACAGUGCUGCACUUCCACUGCAGCAGUUCUAACUGUGUUCAUUUUAUCGCCAUCAAUGAAGAGCACAGUGCUGCAUUUCCUCGUAGCUGUUCCUACUGUGUUCAUUACCUGCAUCGCCUGGUCUGUUUGUGUUGUUGGUGUCUUCUGUGGUUCCACUGCUUGCUGCUCGUGGCAUUUGGGGAGGUGUCUUCUUUUGUUUGUUGAGCAGCUGUUCCAGUACUGUACUUGUGUUGCAGCCUUGUGUGGUUAUGCUGGUUGCAACUUAUGCCAUCUGCAGAAAUUGUGUAGUUCUACUGCUGUAAAAAUCUUUUGGGAAAGUGUCAGUC